Long non-coding RNA from Zingiber officinale, 6040 nucleotides. RefSeq lists it as uncharacterized. The record is from RefSeq and is a predicted model, not a curated record. NCBI's taxonomy places the organism in Eukaryota, Viridiplantae, Streptophyta, Magnoliopsida, Zingiberales, Zingiberaceae. The transcript is spliced from 12 exons.
UCCUAAGUUAUGGAAACCCCUAGAGGGAGGUAAUCCUAGGUCUUAGGGGGUGGUAACCUUAGGCCUAGGUGGUGGUAACCCUAGGUUUUAGGGGGUGGUAACCCUAGGUAGAAAGUCUUAAUGGGUCGAGAACUUUGGUUGAAAUCCUAGAGUUGGAGACUCUAGGUGAAAGUCCUGGUGGUCACGGACCAAGUGAAAGUCUAGAUAGGUCGUGGAGCAGACGUCCAGCAUGAAGACCUGAAGUCUUGGACGCAGAGCAAAAGUCCAGCCGGUCUGGAGGACCGGUCUGGCAAAAGGUAAACUCUCCUGAGAGGAGUAGGUGAGGACGCGCUCCUCGAAGUGGGAACAGUAGGUGUCAGUUCGACCUAGGAUUUCUGGUGAAAUUCAAAAGUCGGAACCGAACAGUUCGAAGGUUGCCAAAUGUCAUAUAUUGCUUUUCUAUUAUUUGCUAUUUGUCUAACUCUGUUUUGCAGGGAAACUAAUAAUUGUGCAAGGUUUGUUUCGGCCUUGAUCGGUUGACCGAACAGGGAAUCGGUCAACCGAACCUCCAAGCAAACAGAUUGAAUUUCCAGCGAGUUGAUCGUGUUCGAUCAAGGGAUCAGUCAACCGAACCUGAGAUUCGAUCAACCAAACAAGUGGAUAGGCGUCGACGUGGUUGAGUUGAGUUGAUUGGACCAGAUAAGUUGGGGAUCAGUUGACCGAACGGUGGGAUCGGUCGACCGAACGAAGACUUCUAUCUGAGUAGCAGAACCUAGAUGAGAAGUCGGGCAGGAUCGGUCAACCGAUCCGGGUGAUCAGUCGACCGAUCAGAGUCGGGUCAAACCUAAUCCUGAGAUCAGUGGAUCUGGAUCAGGUCUGAGGUGGCUAUAAAAAGAGGUCUCGGCCAGCACUUCAAGACAACCGAAUUCAGAACUACUUACGCUCCUGUGUGCUACUCCAAAGCGCUUCGACAACAUGCAAUUGUUGCUCCAAUAAUCGACGAACCUUUAGUUCCUCUUUUAUUGUUGGUAACACAGUUUCUUUUCAUUGUUUUUAAUACGUAUACUUGCAUAUCUGUAAAGCCUUUACGAAUUUAUAGUGGAUUGCUCAACGUAAGCGAUAAACGAUCACGAGCCUUGGAGUGGGAGUCGUCACAGACUCCGAACUAAGUAAAACCAAAGGUGUCAACUUGAUGUUUGUUUUACUUGUUCUUUAUUCCGUUGCGUUUACUGAAACAAGUGAAAAAGUCACGAGUACUAUUCACCCUCCCUCCCUCUAGCACAUCAUCGAUCGCACAAGAAGGUCCACCACCUCCUGGAGAUUUUGGUUGCCUUCCUACACCACCACCUACCCUUGGAUGUUUUGAGCAAGUCCCACCACAACCACCACCCUUUAGAGGAUUCCCUAGAGGCCUUCCUACCCCUUUACCACCACCCUUGUAAGAGCAUCCACAAUCGUUGGAGCUCUUAGAGAGCUCCUUCGUUAUCACAUCCGUGCUCCGUCAAAAGUAAAAAAAUCUCACAUAUCUCUCCAUUAUUAAAAAAACCUCUCAACAACUCCUUCAUGGGUUCCACACUUUUCAUUAUAUAUAUUUCUCAUAUCUCCUUUAUAUUUUACAUUAUAUAUAAUUAAUUUUUUUUAUAAAAUUUAAAUUCAUAAAUUGCUAACAUGAAAUAAUAUUAAUAAUUAAACAAUUACAUAAAUAUUAUAGUACAUCAAAUAAAAAGGCAAAUUAUAAUAAUAUAUAAAAUAAAUUUAAAUACAUCUACACCAAGUCAUCUCUGUUUAAUUUUUCCAAUGAUUUUUUCAUGUAUAUGAAGUUGUCCGGUGUCAUCUCACUAGUAUCCUUCAUAAAAAUUUCAUAAUCCUUAUGAAAGAUCUCGACUUUCCGCAAAGUCAUGUUUUGCAUGUGAUAUUCUUUAAUAUCUUGUCAUUCUUUGUCGAUUCUUUGUUCCAUUGUGUCGCCCUCUUUGAUUUUGGAUUUACCCUUCCUUUUUACUGUCUUUUGCCCUAUUGGACGAAUGCGGACUUUAGAGUCAUCGACACCAACACUUGUAUUUUGAUUUGAUGUUGAAGUAUUCCCCUUGAUUCGGAUGUCCUUGCCUUCUUGCUAGAGUAAUGAGCAAUUAAUAGUGGAGCAUAUUUCUUAUACUCUCUGAGAACCCUCCACACAUGCAUAUACUUGAAGUCUUUGUUAUUGUUGUUGGCUUUCCACAUUGUGUUCUCCAACAGAUUCUCAUCACUCUAACCGUUUUGACGAACAGUAUAAAAAUUAUUAUAGAUUGUCGAAAAUUCAUUUACUAUCGGUGUAAACCUAUAUAGUAAUAUGAUUUUAGCUGUUGAUAGAUUCUCAUCAUAGAUCUAGUGGGUUGAUGCUUAUUGUAGUAAUCAGCUAUAUGUUUCCAAAAAGCUUGAUCUUUCUAGUCAUUACCAUUGAUUGCAUUUAUUUUGAUAGUUGUCCAUGACUUCGCAAGGACUACGUCUUCAUCGAGAGACCAAAAUCUUCAUUUCGAAUCAUUUUUCUUCGGUUCAACUUCACACUCUUCUUGUGAUAAGUGUAGUGGCCACUAAAUUGCUGGAACAGAUAAUGACGUUAGAAAUUUUUUGUCGUUGAUAGAUGGAUCAAUAGUAGCCUUUCUUGAUUCAUUUGAAAGCAUGACCGAUGGUUGAGUAGGAGAAAAUACGUAAGGAGAAUGCAUCCCAAAUUGGCUACCCAUGGCUGACCAAGCUUGGGGUAGAUACAUACCAAAUGGAGCUGGGACGACGUUAUUUAGAUUCGUUAAAACUUUUUUUGAGAACUUUGGAAAUUUAGAGGAUAUUGUAGAACAUAUAAAAUAUUUUAAAAAUUUAGGUAUUGUGUGUGAGAGAGAAAAAAAAUGAGGAUAUUGUAUAUUUGGAGAAAUAUGACUAUUUUGAAAAGAUGUAUUUUCCUCCAUAUUUGAAGAAUCAAAAUAUUUGUAAUAGAAAUAUUAAAAUUUUCAUCUAUUUUAAAUACAAAUAGAGACCGGAAGGAAUAAACAAGAAGUAGAGAGGGAAAAGAAUGAUAAAAUAAACUAAAAAAAUGAGAUUGAAGAUGUAUUUAUAAUUUUUUUUAAAUUAAAAAAUUAAAUUUUAAUUGUUGAACCACGACUAAAAAUUAAUCGUUGUUCAAUGGCUAAUUUGUUAGUCGUUGUUCAACAUAAUGAUGUUUUCCCCCUUUUUUACAAAUAUUAAAAAAGAAAUUAUUUGAAUAUUAUUAUUUUUUUAUAGAAGAAGCGGCUCCAUAAACAAAGAGCAGCUUCAUAAAAAAAAAAAAAAAAUUGAAGGAGCCCCCUCCCACUAUGGGAAGGAGCUGCCUCCAUAUUACCAUGCCAUAAAGAAACUACCAUUGUGGAUGUUUUAAGUUUUAAGAGUAUCUAUAUCAAUUAUACUAUUCAAAGAUUUUACUUUAAAUUUUAGAUAGAAUAAUUAAAAAAAAUUUGCAUGAGCUAUCUUAACUAUUACCUAAAUUUUACAUUUAUAAAUAGUAUUUUCUAAAUUUAGGGAAUAUAAUGAAUUAUAUGCCCUAAAUAUUAUAAAGGAGAGAGAAAAAAUAAAAAGGUAUAGUGAAAAAUGAAUAUCUAAAUUUAAUAAAAUAAAUUUUUUAUCCUAAAUUAUAUAUUUUAGAUAAAAAAAAUUGAUAUGGAUACUCCUAAGACUCUCUCGCUCUACCACCACUCCCUAUAGAUUUUGGAGCCUCUCUUGUUACCCUCGUUUUAGAAAGUCCUUUCGGGACGGUCUAGUGGUUAGCACAUAAGGUGUUGUCACAAUAAAGUCUGGAGUUCGAAUCUCAACGAAGUCGAGAUAAAUAUAUCCCUUAUAUAUUAAUCAUUAUUACAAAAAUUAAUAAUCGUUCGUAUUAACUUUAAAAAACAUUAAGAAAGAAAGUAUUCGUCUUUUAUCAUCGUAAAAGCUCUUCUAUUACCCCACCACCUCCUGCAAAGUUUGGUGGCCCUCCUGCCCCACCACCAUCUUAUACAGGUUUUGGAGGCCUACCUACCCCACCACCACGUGAGCUUUAGAGAAGCUCCUACCCCACCACCACCCCUUAUAAAUUAGAGAUUCUACUGCUAUACCUGGAGCAUUUGGAGGAGUACCACCUCCUCCUCCAGCACUUGGAGGGUUUGGAGGAGUAUCACCUCCUCCCCCUCCGCUUGGAGGAGUCCCACCUCCAUCAUCACUUGGAGGGUUUGGAGGAGUCCCACCUCCUCCUCCACCCAUUUGAGUUUUUUGAGGAGCUCCUACUCCGCCAGCUCCUGGUGGUUUUGGGCGGGCUUCAUCUCCACCACCUAUCCUUGGAGGUGAUCCUCCACCUCCACCAAAUUCCCUUGGUGCUCCGCCACCUCCUCCAGGGUCACAACCUGCAUGAGAGGCUCCAUCUCAAAUCCCUUGGUAGGAGGAAGGGGACGUCCUACAGCAGCACCAGGUGCAACAAUUCGGAAGUCACCAUUUAAGCCAUUGCAUUGGGUGAAAGUAACUAGAGCAACGCAAGGCAGCUUGUGGUCUGAAUUACAAAAGGAUGCUGAUGCUCAAAGCACUUUUGACUUUGAUGUAUCCGAACUUGAAAUGCUCCUCUGCUGCGGUUCCAAGGUCAAGUGGGUCAAAAUCUGAGAAAAACAAAGCUUCUGCCAAGAGUGACAAAGUUCACAUGAUCGAACUAAGGCGAGCCCAUAAUACUGAAAUCAUGCUGACUAAAUUCAAGAUGCCAUUAGAUAUGAUGAAUGGUGUUCUAGAAUUGGAUGAAUCACUUCUUGAUGGCAAUUGGAGCUUCUUAAGUUCUUUUUAGAGUUGAUGAAAGUGCCACAAGUUGAAUCAAAAUUGAGAGUAUUUGCAUUCAAGAUUCAGUUCAAUGCACAGAAGACAGAUAUAAAGAAGAGUUUGCACAGUGUAAUUCUGCUUGCGACGAGCUAAAGGAUAUCAUGAAGAAAAUUUUAUCUCUCGGAAACACUCUAAAUCAAGGAACUGCUACAGGAUGUGCAGUUGGUUUUCGUUUGGAUAGCCUUCUAAAGCUUACAGAUACCCGUGCAACCAAUAUUAGGAUUACCUUUAUGCAUUACCUAUGGAAGGUGUGAUCUUGUGUUUUGUUAAUAAGGAUGAGGAAUCAAUAUAAAAGGGCAGCCCGGUGCAUGAAGCUUCUGCUAUGCGGGAUCUCGGGGAAGGAUCCAUUGUACGCAGCCUUACCCUACUUUGGCUGUUUCCAGGAUGAGGAAUCAAUAUACUGUCCAAAAUUUGUAAUUACUAGGUUUCACAUUGGAUUUUAAAGUUACAUUCUAUGCCUCGUUAUUGAGUUCAGGUCCUUGCUGAGAAGUCUACACGACUUAUGGAUUUCCAUGAGGAUCUUGUCAGUUUGGAAGCUGCGUCAAAGAUUUUGAAAUCAUGAAUACAAGUAUUUUGCACUCUUGAAGCUAGCAGUUCCCAUGAUGCUGAUUUGCUACUUGUGUUUGUAGAUACCAUUGAAAUCGGUGGCUAAAGAACAGCAACAGAUCCUUAAAGGGUUAGAAAUGGAAUUAAUAGCUUCGAAACAUGAUGGCCCAGUAUCAGAAACUUUUUGCAAGGCUUUGAAGGAGUUCACUGUGGUUGCUGCAGAACAAUCUCGUAUCCUUGACAGCACUAUACACCGCAGUUGUAUGCCUCUGAAACGUGGACUAUAUGUUCAUUGGUAAAAAUACGGAUUCGCUGGCCUUAUAUUUUGGUGAGGACCCUAUGAGCUGCCCAUUCGAACAAGUCGUCUCUACUCUUCUUAAUUUUGUACGGUUGUUUCGGAGGGCACACGAGAUGGACUGCAAGCAGGCUGAGCUCGAGAAGAAGAAAGCUCCGAAAGAAGCCGAGGAGAAGUCAAAAGAGAGAUGCAUAUACAUGAUUUUGGCCAGCAAGCAAUCUGAGAAUUUGGCACAGCAGAUGCCCAGAAGACUGCAGACUGGACUUCGCCUUUCCUACACAAACAUAAUGUACACUGUUUUCAGUUCACCUUUCUUAAGAGAGGCAGUAUUUUGGCAGUAUUUUGGAAUCCAGAGAGGGGUGAUUCAAACCACCCUUUGGUUCA